GCCAGCGUAGCUCAGUGGUAGAGCAGCGGUUUCGUAAACCGCCGGUCAAGAGUUCGAGUCUCUUCGCUGGCUCCA
RNAcentral lists this transfer RNA (75 nucleotides) under Dehalococcoidales bacterium. RNAcentral describes it as "tRNA-Thr". It matches the Rfam family "tRNA". From Rfam's summary of the family: Transfer RNA (tRNA) molecules are approximately 80 nucleotides in length. Their secondary structure includes four short double-helical elements and three loops (D, anti-codon, and T loops). Lineage: Bacteria; Bacillati; Chloroflexota; Dehalococcoidia; Dehalococcoidales. The record is from RNAcentral.